Alexandromys fortis (reed vole) is the source of this 75-nucleotide small nucleolar RNA. RefSeq annotates it as small nucleolar RNA SNORD113/SNORD114 family. Lineage: Eukaryota; Metazoa; Chordata; Mammalia; Rodentia; Cricetidae. The record is from RefSeq and is a predicted model, not a curated record. The transcript has a single exon.
UGGACCAGUGAUAACAGCUAUCUGCGAACGAGUUGCAGAGGAUGAAUGGCAUGUGUCUAGAACUCUGAGGUCUAA